UUCUUCCUCUUUGUUGUUUUUGA
Molecule: small nuclear RNA, 23 nt
Filed under: Arabidopsis thaliana (thale cress)
Lineage: Eukaryota; Viridiplantae; Streptophyta; Magnoliopsida; Brassicales; Brassicaceae
Description: snRNA_16860
Source: RNAcentral